GGCACAUUUGCAUUUGUGAGCCUCUGUGUCCGUUUCUAACACAACAGUCCCAAACCUACCGUGGCCGAUGAUUCUAUUGGCAUAGAAGCAUCCCGUGGCUUUAAGCUCUCUAGUAAACCCAUAUCAAAGCACCAGCAAAUAAGGCUAAAAAUAAUGCUCUGGCGCUUACCACCCCUGCAACAGCUCCUGGACGGCUGGACCUUAUCUGCAACGUUGGUUAUGGCAUGAUGAAGAAGAAGAAGGAGGUGAAAGCGGCAGCGGUGGUUUGACGGCAUUGGCGGUUAGGUUUAUUAAAGUAGUCGCCGUUGGUGGCGGCGGAGACUAUGUUGACUCUAAUCCUGACUUCCAUGCUAUGAGCCUCGGUGCUUCCUUGUGCUGAGCCUGAAAAUCCUACGUACGUGAAAUUAUUAACAUAUUAAAAGUGAAUAAUAAAAUGGGGUUGUUACGAAUUUGAAUAUGAAAUUAAUAUGUUUGAAAACUCUAAAUCAAACAUUGUAUUUAAAUCGAUAUCUAAAAUUAUCUUAUUAA
Gossypium arboreum is the source of this 528-nucleotide long non-coding RNA. RefSeq lists it as uncharacterized. The record is from RefSeq and is a predicted model, not a curated record. NCBI's taxonomy places the organism in Eukaryota, Viridiplantae, Streptophyta, Magnoliopsida, Malvales, Malvaceae. The transcript is spliced from 2 exons.